RNAcentral lists this ribosomal RNA (785 nucleotides) under uncultured bacterium. Its description in RNAcentral is "bacterial SSU rRNA". It matches the Rfam family "Bacterial small subunit ribosomal RNA", at positions 8 to 796 of the family's 1533-position model. The record is from RNAcentral.
AGAGUUUGAUCCUGGCUCAGGAUGAACGCUAGCGGCAGGCCUAAUACAUGCAAGUCGAACGGAUAUAGAGACUUCGGUUUCUAUAUUAGUGGCGCACGGGUGCGUAACGCGUAUGCAACCUACCUUUUACUGGGGGAUAGCCCGAAGAAAUUCGGAUUAAUACCGCAUACACCUAUUUGAGGGCAUCUGAGGAUAGGGAAAGAUUUAUUGGUAAGAGAUGGGCAUGCGUGCAUUAGCUAGUUGGUAGGGUAACGGCCUACCAAGGCGACGAUGGCUAGGGGUUCUGAGAGGAUCCCCCACACUGGUACUGAGAUACGGACCAGACUCCUACGGGAGGCAGCAGUAGGGAAUAUUGGGCAAUGGGCGCAAGCCUGACCCAGCCAUGCCGCGUGCAGGAUGAAGGCCUUCUGGGUUGUAAACUGCUUUUAUCUAGGAAGAAAACACUCUUGCGAGAGGGAUUGACGGUACUAGGUGAAUAAGCACCGGCUACUCCGUGCCAGCAGCCGCGGUAAUACGGAGGGUGCAAGCGUUGUCCGGAUUUAUUGGGUUUAAAGGGUGCGUAGGCGGCUUAGUAAGUCCGUGGUGAAAGCCAACAGCUCAACUGUUGAACUGCCAUGGAUACUGUUAGGCUUGAGUACAGACGAGGUAGGCGGAAUGGAUGCUGUAGCGGUGAAAUGCAUAGAUAGCAUCCAGAACUCCGAUUGCGAAGGCAGCUUACUAGGCUGUAACUGACGCUGAGGCACGAAAGCGUGGGGAGCGAACAGGAUUAGAUACCCUAGUAGUCC